GAGAGAUAUAGGUCAGAGAGACAGAGCCAGAGAGAGACCCAGAGGGGCAGAGGAGGUAACAGCAAUAUUUGGAGAGGUGGGCACAGUGAUUGCUGGCCUAAGUAGACCUUGCAGAGCUGACGCCCACCAGGCAGAGGAAAGCUGAGAACUAGCCUAAUCAUGAAGACACGGGAAUGGGACCUCCAGGUGGCUCUAGGACCGGAACAGAAUGGCUCCAGGACAAUGGAUGCACUGUUGGGGGACAGCACAUGCAGGUGGGGCACACCCGACAGAGCCACUGCUGGGCAGGUGCUCCCACCCGAGGACAGGCUCUAGCUCUGCCUGACCGUGUGUUGACAAGGGCCCUGCUUUCUCGCUGCGUCCUGGACCUGUCCACUGGCCAGCCCUUAUUGUCAGAGCUGGACUCGACCUCUCAGAGCAGGAGCGAGCUGAGUGCGCAGAGGCAGACACAUCCCAGGACACCACCACCGGCAGUGACCUCACCUCCUGGCAGACCAGGAUAGCGGGUCCCUCAGAACAGCACGUGAAUCCACAGCAAGAGGGCAGGAGGGGACAGAGACCCCAGCAACAGGCCCCAGCCAGGCCUCCUUCCUCGUCUGUCCCCUGCUCCCUGGACUAUGCCCCCUGGGCGUGGAGCCAGGCUGGUCAGCCUGGACCCGGGAUGGCACACAGCGCAGCGCCCGCCUGAUACCCGCAGUGUCUGUUGCCUGGCACCCGCCCCGCCCCACCCCCUUGGGUUUCUUAAGCUCCAGGCCUCUGACUCCCCGAGAAGAGGCUCUGCAGAGACAUGUCACGUGACCAUGCUGCACGAGAUGUGGUGGCUGAGGUUUCGUCCACGGAAAGGCAGAUCCAGGAUGGCAAUUUGACCUUCAGUGAUUCUGAGAGAAGCCCCAGGAAGGACAGCAAUCAAGAGUCCCAGGAGAUGCUUUUUACUGGAAGGAAAACAGCUCUCUCUUGCUUGUGCGUGGGACAACACAGCAACCAGGACAGCUGGGAUGUUCCUCACCAGGGAUUUACAAGCUGGAAAAGAACACCCGGUUUGUCCCCAUCUACCUGAGAAACUCUGGGAUGAAGGUCAAGACUCAGUUUGGAUCCCCCCUGCAGGGUUGACUCACACUAGUCCUGGGGAGGCUGCACUCCGAUGGGGAGUUGUCUCCUCUUGGCCUUCCUGGGCUACAGUUCCUUGAAGACGCGACUGCAUCAUGCACACGCAGGUGCCCCUAACUUUUUGGUAAAUAAUCUAUACAUGAAUGAGUGAGCUCGGGGCCCAGCAGGGAGUAAGUGGGCGUAGGGGUCACAAAGCCUGGCAGGCAUCGUUCUGCCCCCAGGACCCAGUGCAAGAGGAAAAUAUGGCCGUCUUCAGGCAUUAUUAUUAAGACUUUGGAGGCAGGGACAGAGGGGGCCAGAAGGCUGCCCCACUCCCACAGGAGACGCUGCACUCCACACAGGACAGUUUACCUAGGCCACGAUUCCAUUUUCAGGGCCUGGUGGAAUGUCCUGGUGCGGCAUGUGGUCUCAGGAGGUCCUGCCUGCAUGUGACGGAUGUCACACAGAGGAGGGGGACAAUGGAAUACCUGGGACAGCAGGCUAAAGUCCUGUAGCUGUAACGUCCUGGUUUGAUUUGCGUGUGGCAGAAGCUGGAUGUGGGGUCUCAGAGACCCCAGACCACACCCUGGGAGCUCAGGACAGAGACCUGGAAAUUGCUUCGUGGGAACUGGGUGCUUCUUUCACAGGGGUAACUGGAAAUGAGGCGAGGGCGGAGAGAGCAGUCAGCACUUGGCCCUUCUACAUGAAGUGAUCGUGGGGCCAGCAGAUGGCACAGUGAUUAUGUCACUGGACUCCCACAUGGCUGCCCGCGUUUC
This is a long non-coding RNA of Tupaia belangeri chinensis (Chinese tree shrew), 1862 nucleotides long. RefSeq lists it as uncharacterized. Lineage: Eukaryota; Metazoa; Chordata; Mammalia; Scandentia; Tupaiidae. The transcript has 5 exons. The record is from RefSeq and is a predicted model, not a curated record.